GUAUUCUUUGUUGUGGGUUCCUCUAGUUGUGGCAUGUGGGACGCUGCCUCAGCGUGGUCUGACGAGCAGUGCCAUGUCCGCGCCCAGGAUUCGAACCGAUGAAACACUGGGCCGCCUGCAGCGGAGCGCGCGAACUUAACCACUCGGCCACGGGGCCAGCCCCAGGAAAAAUAAAAUCUUUAAACAAAUAAUAAUAAAAUAAAAUCUAAUUUCAUGCUUCAGAUAAAUAUACGUUUUUGUUUUGCUCUUAGGGGUGAUAAAAAGUAGCUAUUCAUUAUUCCAUAUCUAAGGAUGCACUGAAAUUUGGCUUUGGCCUUGUUCUUCAGAGGGUCACAUAGCAAAAUGCCUAUUUCAGCAUUAUUUCCAGCUUCCCCAAACUUGUGUGUGAUCAAAGGUCACGUGUUUCUCUAGGUUACUGUCCUAUCUAAUUAGCAUAACUAGAAUGAGGAUUGUCAUUUGGGAAAAAUAAAACCUUGCCGUCCGUCAUCCUCAGUUGAAAGUAAAUGUGUGUUUAAUAUCAUAGAUGUCCACUGCAGUGACCACAGGAGCACCCCAACAGCUGUCCUUGCUGAGAAAUUAGCAAUCGUUGUUCCUUGUGUAAUGUCAAACUUCCGUAAUUGAUCUACUAACAUUUUAAAAUGUUUAAAUUGUAUUAAUAGUACGUUUAUAUGAAGGUUUGGGUUUCUUCUUUUAUCUCAGAAGUUCAUUCUGUGAGUUAAUAGACAGCUGUCGUCUAGUCAGAUAUUGACUUUAAUAUUUAUCCUUUCAGCAUUUGGCCAAGAUGUGUAUCCAGAGCAUUUCUGAGUUUAACCCUUCUCGUGGUUCUGCAGGUGGUUUUUAAGUAGCUCUGUCCACAGCUCACUUCCUCCAGGGGAAUUAUUCUGGCCUUUCCUUGGGCUUACUUCCUCAGGUUUCAUUUCCUCCUGGGUUCCUGGGAGCCCUGGAGCGGGUGGUUCCCACAGAUUCCUGGAUAGACCAGACAGAGAGAGCCUCAUACACCUACGGGGAGAAGGGGCAUUAAUUUUUUUUUAAAGGGCCUCUUGGUUUGCCAGGGGCUUCACUGAUCAAUUACUUGACACCCCAACUCUUCUGUCUUUCUUUCCCAUGGGAAAGUAGGAUAGAGGGAUGGAGAACAUCCCUCCGCCCCUGUGCUCAAGACCGUGCCCGCUGAUACUUGCCACCACCACUUUCUACAAAUGGCCAGUAAAUGGUGUCAAGAUAUUUUUUGAGCACCUUCUAGGUUCCCGGGUCAGCACUAGGGACUGUGGGGUGCCAAGAGGCCACGACAGAAUUACCCUCCCCUUAAGGUGCCGACACAGGGGAGUUAGAGCAAAGCUAAGGGCUAGCUGUGUGGCACUGUUUCAAAGAGCACAAUGGCUGAACCUGUUCAGAGGAAAAGUAUUCUGGGAAGGCCUCGCAAAGAGCUAGAACUUGGAAAAGAUCUUGAAAGAUGGAUAAUAAUAUUUAUUUACUUUUAAAAAAGGUAUAACAAAUAAAUGUUUGGCUUGAUAAAUUUUUACAUAUGUGUAUACCGGCCUACACCCAGAUCAAGAUAGAGAACAUUCCAGCACUUCAACAGAUUCCCUCAUGUGCCCUCCCAGGCAAUAAUCAUCCCCAAGAGUAGCCACUGUUCAGACCGCUAUCACAAUAGAGUAGUUUUGUCUGGUUUCGAACAUCAUUCCAAAGAAAUCCUACAGUGUAUACUUUCUUCGACUGGCUUUUUUUGUUCCACAUUAUGUCUGUGAAAUUCAUCCAUUUGUUGCAUAUAGGAGUAGUUCAUUACCUUUCAUUGCUAUAUAAUAUCCCAUUGUGUGAAUAUACUGCAAUUUACUUGUUCAGUCUAUUGUUGACGAUAUUGGGACUGUUUCCAGUUUUGGGCUAUUAUGAAUAAAGCUUCUAUGAACAUUCUUAUUUGUGACUUUUGGUGGACAAAAAUGUUCAUUUCAGUUUGGUAUAUACCUAAGAAAUGGAAUUGCUGGGUUAUGGGUUUCCGUUAUGUUUAGCUUUAGUAGAUACUGCCAGUUUUCCAAAGUCGUGGUAUCAAGUUACACUCCCACCAAGAGUGUGCAAGAGUUCUAGUUGCCUCACAUCCUCAGCAAAACGUGGUAUUGUCAGGCCUUUUAAUUUUAGCCCAUUUGAGGGAUGUAGUGCUAUGUAAUUUGUAUUUCCUUGAUAAUUAAUGAAGUCAGACACCUAUUAAUACACUUAUUGGCCAUCUGGAUAGCCUCUUUUGUGAAGUACCCGUUCAAGUCUUUGUCCUGUUUUAAAAGAUUGCAUUGUGCGACUUUUUGUUUUUCGUUUUUUUUUAAAGAUUUUAUUUUUUCCUUUUUCUCCCCAAAGCCCCCCGGUACAUAGUUGUAUAUUCUUCGUUGUGGGUCCUUCUAGUUGUGGCAUGUGGGAUGUUGCCUCAGCGUGGUUUGAUGAGCAGUGCCAUGUCCGCGCCCAGGAUUUGAACCAACGAAACACUGGGCCACCUGCAGUGGAGUGCGCGAACCCAACCACUCGGCCACGGGGCCAGCCCCGCCUUUUUGUUUUUAAUUUGUGGAAUUUCUUUCUAUAUUAUAGGAAGAUUAGCCCUGAGCUAACAUCCAUGCCCAUCUUCCUCUACUUUAUACGUGGGAUGCCUUCCACAGCAUGGCUUGACAGGCAGUGCCAUGUCCGCACCUGGGUUCUGGGCUGCUGAACCCUGGGCCACUGAAGCGGAACGUGUGAACUUAACCGCUGUACCACUGGGCUGGCUCCAACCUGCCUUGAUUACUGUCGCCUUAUAGUAAGUCUUGCAGUUGGGUACUGUCAGUCCUCUGACUUUGUUGUUCUCUUUCAAUAUUAUGUUGGCUAUUCUGGGUCUUUUGCCUCUCGGUAUAAACUUUAGAAUCAGUUUGUUGAUAUCCACAAAAUAACUUGCUGGACUUUAGAUUAGGGCUGCAUUGAACCUAUAGAUCAAAUUGGGAAAAACUGACAUCCUGACAAUAGUGAGUCUUUCUAUCCGUGAACAUGAAAUAUCUCUCCAUUUAUUUAGUUCUUUGAUUUCUUUCAUUAGAGUUUUGUAGUUUUUCUCAUACAGAUCUUGUAUAUAUUUUGUUAGAUUUAAACGUAUUUCAUUUUUGGGGGUGUUAAUGGAAAUUGGUAUUGUGUUUUUAAUUUCAAAUUCCACUUGUCCACUGCUGGUAAAUAGGAUUGAAUUUUGUAUAUAAACCUGUGUCCUAUAACGUUGCUAUAAUCUCUAGUUCCACUGGUUUUUUUUUUUUUUUUAAAGAUUGGCACCUGAGCUAACAACUGUGGCCAAUCUUUUUUUUUUUUCCUUUUCUGCUUUAUCUCCCCAAAUCCCCCCUGGUGCAUAGUUGUAUAUCUUAGUUGCAGGUCCUUCUAGUUGUGGCAUAUGAGAUGCCGCCUCAACGUGGCCUGACGAGCGGCGCCACGUCCACGCCCAGGAUCCGAACCUGUGAAACCCUGGACCGCCACAGUGGAGCACACAAACUUAACCACUCGGCCACGGGGCCGGCCCCUCCCUAGUUUUUUUGUUGAUUCUUUCAGAUUCUCUACAUAGAUGAUCAUGUCAUCUGCGAACAGAAAAUUUUAUUUCUUUCUUCCUAAUCUUGGUUAGUGAUUUUUUUGUGUGUCUCGUUUAAGACAUCUUUGCCUAGCCCAUGGUCAUGAAGAUAGUCUCCUUUUUGUUUUUGUUUUUUUAAAUCCUAGAAGAUUUUAUUUUCUCUUUCACAUUUAGGUCUAUGAUCCAUCUCAAAUUAAUUUUUAUAUCUAGAGUGGGGUAGGGAGCCAAGUUUUGCUUUUUGCAUAGGAUGUACAAUUGAGCCAGCACUAGUUAUUGAAGGGCCACCCUUUCCCCACUGAACUGUGUGGCUCUUUUGUCGUCUGUCAGGCGUGAGCGUGCAUUUAUGUCCGUUUUGGACUCUAUUUUGUUCCCUUGGUCUGUUAAUCUGUUGUGUGCCAAUACCUUAGUGUGUUAGUUGCUGUAGCUUUAAGAUAAGCUUUGAUGUCUGGGAGUGCAAACCCUCCGGCUUUGUUGUUCUGUUUCAGAUUGCCUUGGCUUUUCUUAGUUCUUUGAUUUUUCUGUAUACAUUUUGGAAUCAUCUUGUCAAUGUCUAAAAAUAAAAUGCUGGGAUUCUGAUUGGGAUUCCAUUGAAUUUAUACAUCAAAUUAGGGAGAUUUGACAUCUUAAAAUACUGUCUUCCAAUCCAUGAACAUGAAAUAUUCUUCCAUUUAUUUACGUAUUCUUUAAUUUUUUUU
Equus caballus (horse) is the source of this 4245-nucleotide long non-coding RNA. The record is from Ensembl. Lineage: Eukaryota; Metazoa; Chordata; Mammalia; Perissodactyla; Equidae.